This 465-nucleotide ribosomal RNA is filed under the name Vreelandella stevensii. RNAcentral describes it as "partial 16S ribosomal RNA". It matches the Rfam family "Bacterial small subunit ribosomal RNA", at positions 338 to 795 of the family's 1533-position model. Lineage: Bacteria; Pseudomonadati; Pseudomonadota; Gammaproteobacteria; Oceanospirillales; Halomonadaceae. The record is from RNAcentral.
CCUACGGGAGGCAGCAGUGGGGAAUAUUGGACAAUGGGCGAAAGCCUGAUCCAGCCAUGCCGCGUGUGUGAAGAAGGCCUUCGGGUUGUAAAGCACUUUCAGUGGGGAAGAAAGCCUUGGGGCUAAUACCCUCGAGGAAGGACAUCACCCACAGAAGAAGCACCGGCUAACUCCGUGCCAGCAGCCGCGGUAAUACGGAGGGUGCGAGCGUUAAUCGGAAUUACUGGGCGUAAAGCGCGCGUAGGCGGUCUGAUAAGCCGGUUGUGAAAGCCCCGGGCUCAACCUGGGAACGGCAUCCGGAACUGUCAGGUUAGAGUGCAGGAGAGGAAGGUAGAAUUCCCGGUGUAGCGGUGAAAUGCGUAGAGAUCGGGAGGAAUACCAGUGGCGAAGGCGGCCUUCUGGACUGACACUGACGCUGAGGUGCGAAAGCGUGGGUAGCAAACAGGAUUAGAUACCCCAGUAGUC